AGCGAACGCUGGCGGCAGGCCUAACACAUGCAAGUCGAACGAACCUUUCGGGGUUAGUGGCGGACGGGUGAGUAACACGUGGGAACGUGCCUUUAGGUUCGGAAUAACUCAGGGAAACUUGUGCUAAUACCGAAUGUGCCCUUCGGGGGAAAGAUUUAUCGCCUUUAGAGCGGCCCGCGUCUGAUUAGCUAGUUGGUUGAGGUAAUGGCUCACCAAGGCGACGAUCAGUAGCUGGUCUGAGAGGAUGAUCAGCCACAUUGGGACUGAGACACGGCCCAAACUCCUACGGGAGGCAGCAGUGGGGAAUCUUGCGCAAUGGGCGAAAGCCUCACGCAGCCAUGCCGCGUGAAUGAUGAAGGUCUUAGGAUUGUAAAAUUCUUUCACCGGGGACGAUAAUGACGGUACCCGGAGAAGAAGCCCCGGCUAACUUCGUG
Molecule: ribosomal RNA, 434 nt
Filed under: uncultured bacterium
Lineage: Bacteria
Description: partial 16S ribosomal RNA
Rfam family: Bacterial small subunit ribosomal RNA
Source: RNAcentral